This 253-nucleotide ribosomal RNA is filed under the name uncultured bacterium. RNAcentral describes it as "partial 16S ribosomal RNA". It matches the Rfam family "Bacterial small subunit ribosomal RNA", at positions 524 to 776 of the family's 1533-position model. The record is from RNAcentral.
UACAGAGGGUGCAAGCGUUAAUCGGAAUGACUGGGCGUAAAGGGCACGUAGGCGGCUAGAUGUGUUAUAGGUGAAAUCCCCGGGCUUAACCUGGGAACUGCCUAUAAAACUGUUUGGCUAGAAUAUAGGAGAGGUAAGUGGAAUUUCCGGUGUAGCGGUGAAAUGCGUAGAUAUCGGAAAGAACACCAGUGGCGAAGGCGACUUACUGGCCUAAUAUUGACGCUGAGGUGCGAAAGCGUGGGAAGCAAACGGG